GGUUCGGAACAACCCAGGGAAACUUGGGCUAAUACCGGAUACGCCCUUCGGGGGAAAGAUUCAUUGCCGAAAGAUCGGCCCGCGUCGGAUUAGCUAGUUGGUGGGGUAAUGGCCCACCAAGGCGACGAUCCGUAGCUGGUCUGAGAGGAUGAUCAGCCACACUGGGACUGAGACACGGCCCAGACUCCUACGGGAGGCAGCAGUGGGGAAUAUUGGACAAUGGGCGAAAGCCUGAUCCAGCCAUGCCGCGUGAGUGAAGAAGGCCUUAGGGUUGUAAAGCUCUUUCAGCGGGGAAGAUAAUGACGGUACCCGCAGAAGAAGUCCCGGCUAACUUCGUGCCAGCAGCCGCGGUAAUACGAAGGGGACUAGCGUUGUUCGGAUUUACUGGGCGUAAAGCGCGCGUAGGCGGA
This 410-nucleotide ribosomal RNA is filed under the name uncultured bacterium. Its description in RNAcentral is "bacterial SSU rRNA". It matches the Rfam family "Bacterial small subunit ribosomal RNA", at positions 135 to 579 of the family's 1533-position model. The record is from RNAcentral.